Molecule: ribosomal RNA, 1212 nt
Filed under: Clostridium perfringens
Lineage: Bacteria; Bacillati; Bacillota; Clostridia; Eubacteriales; Clostridiaceae
Description: partial 23S ribosomal RNA
Rfam family: Bacterial large subunit ribosomal RNA
Source: RNAcentral
AUAUAGGUCAAGCUACAAAGGGCGCAUGGUGAAUGCCUUGGCAUCAGGAGCCGAUGAAGGACGUGAUAAGCUGCGAUAAGCUUCGGGUAGGCGCACAUAGCCUGAGAUCCGAAGAUCUCCGAAUGAGGAAACUCACAUGGGAAACCCCAUGUAUCAUUAAGUGAAUACAUAGCUUAAUGAAGGUAACCCAGGGAACUGAAACAUCUAAGUACCUGGAGGAAGAGAAAGAAAAAUCGAUUUUCUUAGUAGCGGCGAGCGAAAGGGAAAGAGCCCAAACCGGAAACUUGUUUCCGGGGUUGUGGACAUAACAUAAAAGUGGAGGCUAUUGUAACUGAAGAGAACUGGAAAGUUCCACCGUAGAAGGUAAUAGUCCUGUAAGUGAAACGAGAAGACCACGAGUUAUGAUCCAGAGUACCACGAGACACGUGAAACCUUGUGGGAAGCAGGGAGGACCACCUCCCAAGGCUAAAUACUACCUGAUGACCGAUAGUGAAGCAGUACCGUGAGGGAAAGGUGAAAAGAACCCCGGGAGGGGAGUGAAAUAGAACCUGAAACCGUGUGCCUACAACCGCUCAGAGCCCCUUAUGAGGGUGAUGAGGUGCUUUUUGUAGAACGAGCCAACGAGUUACGGUAUGUAGCAAGGUUAAGUACUUAAGGUACGGAGCCGAAGGGAAACCGAGUCUGAAUAGGGCGACUAGUUGCAUGCCGUAGACCCGAAACCGGGUGACCUAUCCAUGGCCAGGUUGAAGCGAGGGUAAAACCUCGUGGAGGACCGAACCACGUUGCUGUUGAAAAAGCAUGGGAUGAGCUGUGGAUAGCGGAGAAAUUCCAAUCGAACCCGGAGAUAGCUGGUUCUCUCCGAAAUAGCUUUAGGGCUAGCGUCGAGUAUGAGUAGUGGAGGUAGAGCACUGAAUGGGCUAGGGGGCAUAGCGCUUACCGAACCUUAUCAAACUCCGAAUGCCACAUACUUUGAGCUCGGCAGUCAGACUACGAAUGAUAAGAUCCGUGGUCAAAAGGGAAACAGCCCAGAUCGUCAGCUAAGGUCCCAAAGUGUAAGUUAAGUGGGAAAGGAUGUGAGAUUUCUAAGACAACUAGGAUGUUGGCUUAGAAGCAGCCAUUCAUUAAAAGAGUGCGUAAUAGCUCACUAGUCGAGAGAUCUUGCGCCGAAAAUGUAACGGGGCUAAACUUACCACCGAAGCUACGGGCUUGAAC